RNAcentral lists this long non-coding RNA (349 nucleotides) under Brassica rapa (field mustard). RNAcentral describes it as "long non-coding RNA (BRAP_LNC006741)". Lineage: Eukaryota; Viridiplantae; Streptophyta; Magnoliopsida; Brassicales; Brassicaceae. The record is from RNAcentral.
UUUCCUUUAAUUUUUUACUCUAUAAUAGAGUAAAAAUAGAUUAUAUAUAUAAUAAUUCAUUUUUUUUUUGUUCAUCAUCAGUAUAUUUUUCACUACAAUUAGAGAAAAACUUAACUACAUUAUAGAAUUACUUUAUUUUAAAAGUAAAAAAUAAAAAAAAAAUAAACCAUUGGAAAUUGUCUUGAGCUGGAAUACUUAUUAUUUGGUUAUGGCCAUUUAAUAAAUCGAUCAUAACUAAACCGUGUCAGGUUUCAUGAAUUUAAAGCCAUGGCCGUGUUUUUCUCACGAAACGAGUCCUGAGCAGGAAGCCCAUCCGAAGAGCCGCCGCGACGCAUCCUCACUAGUCGCC